RNAcentral lists this transfer RNA (73 nucleotides) under Stegodyphus mimosarum. It matches the Rfam family "tRNA". Rfam says of the family: Transfer RNA (tRNA) molecules are approximately 80 nucleotides in length. Their secondary structure includes four short double-helical elements and three loops (D, anti-codon, and T loops). Further hydrogen bonds mediate the characteristic L-shaped molecular structure. tRNAs have two regions of fundamental functional importance: the anti-codon, which is responsible for specific mRNA codon recognition, and the 3' end, to which the tRNAs corresponding amino acid is attached (by aminoacyl-tRNA synthetases). tRNAs cope with the degeneracy of the genetic code in two manners: having more than one tRNA (with a specific anti-codon) for a particular amino acid; and 'wobble' base-pairing, i.e. permitting non-standard base-pairing at the 3rd anti-codon position. Lineage: Eukaryota; Metazoa; Arthropoda; Arachnida; Araneae; Eresidae. The record is from Rfam by way of RNAcentral.
GCCUUCGUGGUGUAGUGGCCUGCAUGUUCGACGCGUAACCGAGAGGUCCAUGGUUCGAUUCCGGGCGAAGGCG